CAGCAGUGGGGAAUCUUCCGCAAUGGACGAAAGUCUGACGGAGCAACGCCGCGUGAGUGAUGACGGCCUUCGGGUUGUAAAGCUCUGUUAAUCGGGACGAAUGGUUCUUGUGCAAAUAGUGCGAGGAUUUGACGGUACCGGAAUAGAAAGCCACGGCUAACUACGUGCCAGCAGCCGCGGUAAUACGUAGGUGGCAAGCGUUGUCCGGAAUUAUUGGGCGUAAAGCGCGCGCAGGCGGAUUGGUCAGUCUGUCUUAAAAGUUCGGGGCUUAACCCCGUGAUGGGAUGGAAACUGCCAAUCUAGAGUAUCGGAGAGGAAAGUGGAAUUCCUAGUGUAGCGGUGAAAUGCGUAGAUAUUAGGAAGAACACCAGUGGCGAAGGCGACUUUCUGGACGAAAACUGACGCUGAGGCGCGAAAGCCAGGGGAGCGAACGGGAUUAGA
RNAcentral lists this ribosomal RNA (441 nucleotides) under uncultured Veillonella sp. RNAcentral describes it as "bacterial SSU rRNA". It matches the Rfam family "Bacterial small subunit ribosomal RNA", at positions 349 to 782 of the family's 1533-position model. The record is from RNAcentral. Lineage: Bacteria; Bacillati; Bacillota; Negativicutes; Veillonellales; Veillonellaceae.